Molecule: long non-coding RNA, 1409 nt
Organism: Nerophis lumbriciformis (worm pipefish)
Lineage: Eukaryota; Metazoa; Chordata; Actinopteri; Syngnathiformes; Syngnathidae
Source: RefSeq, a predicted model, not a curated record
CUUUUAGUUCCCCUGCUAAUUCACAGAUAUAUAGAAAGCUGCAUUUAUCAACCAUCUUUGACAAUUUGCUUCCAGCAGUUAACGGAUGGACUUUUGUGGGAACAUACGUGCGUGUCCGUGGAGGAUUUAAACAACAUGAUGGGUGAGGAGCUCAGUGAUCCGGGAGGAGCUCAAAGUAGAGCUGCUGCUCCUUCACAUCGAAAGGAGCCAGUUGAGGUGGAUCGGGCAUCUAGUUCGGAUGCCUCCUGGACGUCUCCCUAGUCAGAUGCUCCAGGCAUGCCCAGCCAGAAGGAGGGAUUAUGUCUCGCCUGGGAACGCCUCGGCCCAACCCCGGAACUGGAAGAGAUGUCAGGGCUUCCCUACUGGGACUGCUAUCCGAUUUCCGGAAAUGCUGAAGAACAUGGAUGGAUGGAUGGAUUCCCAUUUUGGGCUGGUGGAUUGUCACGAGAUUGUAAGUAGGGCAUCAAAUGCAAAAAAAAAAAGAAAAGAAAAAAACAAGGAACGAAAACAAAAGCAAGAGACCAAAAAAACCUAGCCUUAAAAAGUACAACGCUGGGCAACUGAUGACCUGAUGCAAAAUGCAAAAGAGCUUUCAGUCUUUGAAGGUGGUAGGAUUAUUUAACUGCACCACCAAGGAAUUUUGCAAUGGGUCAUUGCUGAUUUUACACGUUUCUUAAAAUGUAAAAUGUUUGUCCAAUUUUUUGUCCACUUGGACAAAAAUACCAAGUGGUAUUUUAUAUAACUCAGGCCCCAAAACCGCCCAAUAACCACCAGAUGGCAUCUGCCAGGGAAGGACUUUGUGCAGUGUCAGCAGUUGGUGGCAUAUUCUAUUAUUAUAUAGAAUAUAUUAUCAUAUCUCAUACAUUUUAUACUCUAAGAAGUGUAAACUACUUAAUGUAGUUGGCUUUGGGGUACUUCAGUAGGAUUUUGAGUCACAGUGUUCAAAGGUUGCUGGUAUGUGUAUAAGUAUAUAUAUGUGUAUAUAUAUAUAUAUAUAUAUAUAUAUCUCCUGAUGAUUGAGGGAACCCCCUCAUGAAACAGGCCUGUAGAGAUGAAAUAGUCUUGUGAUUUUUUUCCCACACAUACAUAUAUAUAUAUAUUAUAUAUAUAUAUAUAUAUAUAUAGGUAAAUGCAUGUGAUCAAGUACUAUGAUUUUGACAGAGACUCUCCAGUCCUUUCUUGUGUUUCUUCAUCUCAAAAGAUUGAAGUCUUUUUUUUUUUCUCUCUCUAUUUGACGUGUACAAAGUGAAUGUGGAAACUGUAGGCAUAAUAAGCUUUUAGCUUCAGCCUAAACCUUGUUGGUCAGGAUAUGUAAACUGAUACUUUUAUUUGUUUAUCUGCUAUGAACUUGAGGUGUACUGUUUAUAUGAACCGAUGACCAAAUAAAAAAACAUUUAAUUGAUAUUGAA